RNAcentral lists this non-coding RNA (19 nucleotides) under Mus musculus (house mouse). The record is from RNAcentral. Lineage: Eukaryota; Metazoa; Chordata; Mammalia; Rodentia; Muridae.
AUGUUGAAUCGCCAGGAUC